UGGAGGGCAAGUCUGGUGCCAGCAGCCGCGGUAAUUCCAGCUCCAAUAGCGUAUAUUAAAGUUGUUGCAGUUAAAAAGCUCGUAGUUGAAUUUCGGGGUCAGUAGAUUGGUCGUGCCACUGGUAUGUACUGGUCUUACUGGCUCCUCCUUCCUGAUGAACCGUAAUGCCAUUAAUUUGGUGUUGCGGGGAGACUGGACUGUUACUUUGAAAAAAUUAGAGUGUUUAAAGCAGGCUAACGCUUGAAUACAUUAGCAUGGAAUAAUGAAAUAGGACGUUCGAUCUUAUUUUGUUGGUUUCUAAGAUUGACGUAAUGAUUAAUAGGGAUAGUUGGGGGCAUUAGUAUUCAAUUGUCAGAGGUGAAAUUCUUGGAUUUAUUGAAGACUAACUACUGCGAAAGCAUUUGCCAAGGAUGUUUUCAUUAAUCAAGAACGAAAGUUAGGGGAUCGAAGACGAUCAGAUACCGUCGUAGUCUUAACCAUAAACUAUGCCGACUAGGGAUCGGAUGAUGUUAAUUUUUUAAUGACUCAUUCGGCGCCUUACGGGAAACCAAAGUGUUUGGGUUC
This 564-nucleotide ribosomal RNA is filed under the name uncultured Glomeromycotina. RNAcentral describes it as "SSU rRNA". It matches the Rfam family "Eukaryotic small subunit ribosomal RNA", at positions 549 to 1114 of the family's 1831-position model. Lineage: Eukaryota; Fungi; Glomeromycota. The record is from RNAcentral.